Molecule: ribosomal RNA, 447 nt
Filed under: uncultured bacterium
Lineage: Bacteria
Description: SSU rRNA
Rfam family: Bacterial small subunit ribosomal RNA
Source: RNAcentral
AGAACGAACGCUGGCGGCAGGCUUAACACAUGCAAGUCGAACGCCCCGCAAGGGGAGUGGCAGACGGGUGAGUAACGCGUGGGAAUCUACCCAGUUCUACGGAAUAACACAGGGAAACUUGUGCUAAUACCGUAUACGCCCUACGGGGGAAAGAUUUAUCGGGAUUGGAUGAGCCCGCGUUGGAUUAGCUAGUUGGUGGGGUAAUGGCCUACCAAGGCGACGAUCCAUAGCUGGUCUGAGAGGAUGAUCAGCCACAAUGGGACUGAGACACGGCCCAUACUCCUACGGGAGGCAGCAGUGGGGAAUUUUGUGCAAUGGGCGAAAGCCUGACACAGCGACACCGCGUGAGCGAAGAAGCCCUUUGGGGUGUAAAGCUCUGUCAGCUGGAACGAAAAAAAUGACGGUACCAGCAGAGGAAGCAUCGGCUAACUACGUGCCAGCAGCCGC